AAGACACAAAAAUAAAAUUUACUUACGAACUUGAAACAAAGAAGUUACUACGAGUUAAAAAUGAGAAAAGCACACAAAUAAUGAAGACACGAAGAAACGGAUUCAAUAAUUAAUCUACAACUAAGUAGGUGAUUACUAGUUGUUAAUUAAUUCUAGAAUCAAGACAUGAAACUAAUGAAACAAUAAGAUGAAACUAAGAAUCUAAAAU
This 208-nucleotide long non-coding RNA is filed under the name Capsicum annuum. RNAcentral describes it as "long non-coding RNA (CANN_LNC011332)". The record is from RNAcentral. Lineage: Eukaryota; Viridiplantae; Streptophyta; Magnoliopsida; Solanales; Solanaceae.